UGCUCCGGGGCCCCCAGAGGUGUAGUUCGCGUCAGUCGCUUUUCAGUCGAGUACAUUCUCCGGACGCGGUUAAACGUGCUUUGGAUCGGCGCGCGCGCUCAAAACUUCACGCUUACAUGAGUAACUAAAACAAUAACAGAGCUCUGCUCAACAGUGCCCAAGGGUUGGAAGAAUUCUCUACGAGGGAGUGCAACAGCAGUUCACAUUAGAGUAAAAGUUACCUUCGCCAUGGUUCAGUGAGAAAAAAGUCACCUAAGGUUACACGUUAUGUUCUGUGUGCUGCACAUGGCCGGCAUCCGUAUUGUUGUUUGAAUGAGUGUGAAAAAAAAAACCUUUGAAAAGGGAAGUGAUUUUAAUUUGAAAUGUUUGGCGGUUUGUUGUCCGCUAUAUGAGGAGAAGUUGUGCCGUUUGCUGUUUAAUUUGUGUGCCGGUAUGCUGUUAUGAUACCAGAAUCUGUGCCCUGUGUGUGACUGACUCAUCGGAUGAAGCAACAGGUGGAAAGUUCAAACCCGUUGUUGGUGUCUGGAUUUCUCGGAAAUUGCAACUAUCGGAUUACUGUAACGCUGCGCUAGCUUCUUCAGUUGACAUGCAGUUAAAGAUAAAGUUAUCAUCGCUUAUAUUGGAAGUGGUACAAUGAACGACGAUCAACAAUGGAUUCCACCAGCCUUAAUUUCACACGGAACUCAUGCACUUCAGAUUUUUGCAAACAUGCCACCAGAAAACGAAAGGCAUCAUCUUACAAGUUUCGAAGAGUACGAUUAAAGUGGAUUCUCAGCAGUGUUCCGUGUGUUGCAGUAUUGCUAUUAACGUUCAUUCCAAUAGUGUCAUGUAAUCGUCCACCUCGGUUUUUGAUCGACGGUCAUUCAGAAAUAGUGCUUAGGCUAAAAGAAGGGCCCGACACGCCAGUCGGUUCACUGAUAUACAAAUUGAAAGGUUACGAUCCCGAUGAGGAUCCUUUAACAUUUGGAGUCCGUAAAGCGGUGGACAGUGAUGUGAUAAGAGUGGAACGAAGUGGUGUGAAUGAGGCUAAUGUUUACUUAAACAAAGAACU
Molecule: long non-coding RNA, 1051 nt
Organism: Aedes aegypti (yellow fever mosquito)
Lineage: Eukaryota; Metazoa; Arthropoda; Insecta; Diptera; Culicidae
Exons: 2
Source: RefSeq, a predicted model, not a curated record